Molecule: ribosomal RNA, 259 nt
Filed under: Scrippsiella trochoidea
Lineage: Eukaryota; Dinophyceae; Peridiniales; Peridiniaceae
Description: partial Bacterial small subunit ribosomal RNA
Rfam family: Bacterial small subunit ribosomal RNA
Source: RNAcentral
GCAGCGAAGGGGCGACCUGGAGCGAAUCCCCAAAAGCCGUCUCAGUUCGGAUUGUACUCUGCAACUCGAGUGCAUGAAGGUGGAAUCGCUAGUAAUCGUGGAUCAGCAUGCCACGGUGAAUACGUUCCCGGGCCUUGUACACACCGCCCGUCACACCAUGGGAGUGGGAUGCAAAAGAAGUAGUUAGUCUAACCUUCGGGAGGGCGAUUACCACUUUGUGUUUCAUGACUGGGGUGAAGUCGUAACAAGGUAGCCGUAG